Eriocheir sinensis (Chinese mitten crab) is the source of this 521-nucleotide long non-coding RNA. RefSeq lists it as uncharacterized. The record is from RefSeq and is a predicted model, not a curated record. The transcript is spliced from 3 exons. Lineage: Eukaryota; Metazoa; Arthropoda; Malacostraca; Decapoda; Varunidae.
AGAGGGAAAGGUUAUUCAGUGCUAAUUAGGGUUAGUUAGGCAAGGAUAACCUAACCUAACCUAACUUAACCUAGUCUAGCUUAACCUAACCUAACCUAACCUACAUGAAGACAGUAUAGUUAUGAACACAAGAGGUAUAGGGAAAGGUUAUUAAGUGUUCAUUAGGGGUAGUUAGGCAAGGAUAACCUAACCUAACCUAACUUAACCUAGUCUAGCUUAACCUAACCUAACCUAACCUACAUGAAGACAGUAUAGUUAUGAACACAAGAGGUAUAGGGAAAGGUUGUUAAGUGCUCAUUAGGGGUAGUUAGGCAAGGAUAACCUAACCUAACCUAACCUAACCUACAUGAAGACAGUAUAGUUAUGAACACAAGAGGUAUUGGGAAAGAUUACUGGUAUUAAGUGCUCAUUAGGGGUAGUUAGGCAAGCAAAUACAAGUAAUAAGAACGAUAAGUGAAAACAUAAACACCACUACACUAUGCCCAGGGAGAAACAAUGAGUGCGUGAAUGUAUGCCGGCAG